GGGUCGAUGCCCGAGUGGUUAAUGGGGACGGGCUGUAAACUCGUUGGUGUUAAUACCUACGCUGGUUCAAAUCCAGCUCGGCCC
This 84-nucleotide transfer RNA is filed under the name Welwitschia mirabilis. RNAcentral's name for it is "tRNA-Tyr". It matches the Rfam family "tRNA". Rfam says of the family: Transfer RNA (tRNA) molecules are approximately 80 nucleotides in length. Their secondary structure includes four short double-helical elements and three loops (D, anti-codon, and T loops). The record is from RNAcentral. Lineage: Eukaryota; Viridiplantae; Streptophyta; Gnetopsida; Welwitschiales; Welwitschiaceae.